RNAcentral lists this ribosomal RNA (872 nucleotides) under Klebsiella variicola subsp. tropica. Its description in RNAcentral is "bacterial SSU rRNA". It matches the Rfam family "Bacterial small subunit ribosomal RNA", at positions 1 to 870 of the family's 1533-position model. Lineage: Bacteria; Pseudomonadati; Pseudomonadota; Gammaproteobacteria; Enterobacterales; Enterobacteriaceae. The record is from RNAcentral.
UAGAUUUUGAUCCUGGCUCAGAUUGAACGCUGGCGGCAGGCCUAACACAUGCAAGUCGAGCGGUAGCACAGAGAAGCUUGCUCUCGGGUGACGAGCGGCGGACGGGUGAGUAAUGUCUGGGAAACUGCCUGAUGGAGGGGGAUAACUACUGGAAACGGUAGCUAAUACCGCAUAACGUCGCAAGACCAAAGUGGGGGACCUUCGGGCCUCAUGCCAUCAGAUGUGCCCAGAUGGGAUUAGCUAGUAGGUGGGGUAACGGCUCACCUAGGCGACGAUCCCUAGCUGGUCUGAGAGGAUGACCAGCCACACUGGAACUGAGACACGGUCCAGACUCCUACGGGAGGCAGCAGUGGGGAAUAUUGCACAAUGGGCGCAAGCCUGAUGCAGCCAUGCCGCGUGUGUGAAGAAGGCCUUCGGGUUGUAAAGCACUUUCAGCGGGGAGGAAGGCGAUGAGGUUAAUAACCUCGUCGAUUGACGUUACCCGCAGAAGAAGCACCGGCUAACUCCGUGCCAGCAGCCGCGGUAAUACGGAGGGUGCAAGCGUUAAUCGGAAUUACUGGGCGUAAAGCGCACGCAGGCGGUCUGUCAAGUCGGAUGUGAAAUCCCCGGGCUCAACCUGGGAACUGCAUUCGAAACUGGCAGGCUAGAGUCUUGUAGAGGGGGGUAGAAUUCCAGGUGUAGCGGUGAAAUGCGUAGAGAUCUGGAGGAAUACCGGUGGCGAAGGCGGCCCCCUGGACUGAAACUCACGCUCAGGUGCGAAAGCGUGGGGAGCAAACAGGAUUAGAUACCCUGGUAGUCCACGCUGUAAACGAUGUCGAUUUGGAGGUUGUGCCCUUGAGGCGUGGCUUCCGGAGCUAACGCGUAAAUCGACC